UACGUAGGGUCCAAGCGUUAAUCGGAAUUACUGGGCGUAAAGCGUGCGCAGGCGGUUUUGUAAGACAGAGGUGAAAUCCCCGAGCUUAACUUGGGAACGGCCUUUGUGACUGCAAAGCUAGAGUGUGUCAGAGGGGGGUGGAAUUCCACGUGUAGCAGUGAAAUGCGUAGAGAUGUGGAGGAACACCGAUGGCGAAGGCAACCCCCUGGGAUAACACUGACGCUCAUGCACGAAAGCGUGGGGAGCAAACAGG
Molecule: ribosomal RNA, 253 nt
Filed under: uncultured bacterium
Lineage: Bacteria
Description: partial 16S ribosomal RNA
Rfam family: Bacterial small subunit ribosomal RNA
Source: RNAcentral